This 73-nucleotide transfer RNA is filed under the name Felis catus (domestic cat). It matches the Rfam family "tRNA". From Rfam's summary of the family: Transfer RNA (tRNA) molecules are approximately 80 nucleotides in length. Their secondary structure includes four short double-helical elements and three loops (D, anti-codon, and T loops). The record is from Rfam by way of RNAcentral. Lineage: Eukaryota; Metazoa; Chordata; Mammalia; Carnivora; Felidae.
ACCUGCCUGGCUAAGUCAGUAGAGCAUGAGACUCUUGAUCUCUGGGUUGUAUGUUCGAUCCGCAUGUUGGGUG